UCAUCAGAGCAAUCGUCAGCAAAAGCCAGAUUACAGAGAUCUAUGGUGUCCUACAGGAUAUCCAUCAUCUCUCAUCGCUGUUUGCUUCUAUCAACUUUCAGUUCAUCUCCCGUUCCCAGAACGGAGAAGCUGACUUUCUAGCAAAACGGGCCCUUAAGGCCCAUAAUCCUUCUGCUUCUGUUGUUUAGCUAUUGCCUUCGGGCCCAAACUCUUCCUGCUUUGCUUUAAUUUAUAAAAUCUCGUUGCUCAAAAAAAAAAAGUUGAAAUAUAGAGCCCGCAAAGAUGGAAACUUCUUCUCUCACCUAUCGUUUUCGUUGUCCGUCUCUUUUUUUCUCAAAAAUAACAAAUAAAUUUACUACAUCGAUCCUUAUAAGGAAAGAACGAAA
Molecule: long non-coding RNA, 386 nt
Filed under: Brassica napus (rape)
Lineage: Eukaryota; Viridiplantae; Streptophyta; Magnoliopsida; Brassicales; Brassicaceae
Description: long non-coding RNA (BNAP_LNC008585)
Source: RNAcentral